GUACACGCUGUGACUAGCAUAUCAAUAAGCGGAGGAAAAGAAACUAACAAGGAUUCCCUCAGUAACGGCGAGUGAAGCGGGAAGAGCUCAAAUUUGAAAUCUUGCAAGGUUUACCUUUCACGAAUUGUAGUUUAAAGAAGUGUUUUCUGCUUACGAUUUGGUAAUAAGUUCUUUGGAAUAGGACAUCAUAGAGGGUGAGAAUCCCGUAUGGUUGACCAGUAUUUGUCAGCUUUGUGAUACACUUUCGAAGAGUCGGAUUGUUUGGGAAUGCAGUCCAAAAUGGGAUGGUAAAUUUCAUCUAAGGCUAAAUACUGGCGAGAGACCGAUAGCGAACAAGUACCGUGAGGGAAAGAUGAAAAGAACUUUGAAAAGAGAGUUAAAUAGUACGUGAAAUUGUCAAAAGGGAAGCGUUUAACACCAGUGUUGUUUUCUGAAAAUCAACCUCUGUUAGCUUUAUGCAUGUUUGUUUAGACCUAAUCAGCUAUCUUUCAUGUUCUAUUGUUUGCAGUGGUGCACUUUUCAGUUUACAGGUCAACAUCAGUUUUUUUUACCGUAAAAAAGUUAGAGAAAGGUAGCUCAUGGCUCCGGUCGUGAGUGUUAUAGUCUUUUUCCUAUGCGGUAGGAGAGACUGAGGUCUGCAGUGUAGGCUAUUUGGCUAGAUACUCAGGUGCUAUGUGAUACCAUUUCAUAAACGACUUGUUGAUUAUGUUUUGUCUAUUGCAUACUCGCUUGUACUAUCAUACCUACGCUUAGGAUGUUGAGUAGCGACAUACGCAC
This 777-nucleotide ribosomal RNA is filed under the name uncultured Neocallimastigales. RNAcentral's name for it is "partial large subunit ribosomal RNA". The stretch from base 4 to 667 matches the Rfam family "Eukaryotic large subunit ribosomal RNA", at positions 24 to 664 of the family's 3401-position model. The record is from RNAcentral. Lineage: Eukaryota; Fungi; Neocallimastigomycota; Neocallimastigomycetes; Neocallimastigales.